RNAcentral lists this antisense RNA (185 nucleotides) under Amborella trichopoda. RNAcentral describes it as "lncRNA IsrR". It matches the Rfam family "Antisense RNA which regulates isiA expression". Lineage: Eukaryota; Viridiplantae; Streptophyta; Magnoliopsida; Amborellales; Amborellaceae. The record is from Rfam by way of RNAcentral.
AAUAACCAAAUAUAACACUUGGGCUAAGUGUCAAGUUGGUUAUUUUUCUACAUCUCUACCACCAGGGGCCUAGGUAUCAUAUACGCCUCCAAAAUAACGAGCCUUGAACACUAAGAGAAAAGCACCUACACCUAAUAACAUUAAUGAGUACCCAAAAUAGUGGUCAUUUUAUUUCUAUCUUUCUA